ACAUUCACCACAUUUACCCAAUAUACCUUGCCGAUUUUGUCUUCAAGGAUAUCGAUAGUGGACUUAUCGAUAAAAAUAUAUCGUCUGAUUGGAUUGCUUACAAAAUAAGUUUUAAACAAAAAUGAUUAACAACAAUUACCACUAAAUAAAUUUCGAAUCUUACUAGA
This 167-nucleotide small RNA is filed under the name Drosophila pseudoobscura pseudoobscura. RNAcentral's name for it is "GA32312". Lineage: Eukaryota; Metazoa; Arthropoda; Insecta; Diptera; Drosophilidae. The record is from RNAcentral.